This 342-nucleotide long non-coding RNA is filed under the name Solanum tuberosum (potato). Its description in RNAcentral is "long non-coding RNA (STUB_LNC008500)". Lineage: Eukaryota; Viridiplantae; Streptophyta; Magnoliopsida; Solanales; Solanaceae. The record is from RNAcentral.
CAGGGGCUACACAAACACAACUUCAAGGCCCUGCUCAUACUCAAGCAUAUCCUCCAUCCUCCGGCUUUCUUCCUAAUCCUUCAAUGCCACCACUUCCCUCUCCUAGAAUGAAUGGCCCGCCACCACUUCCUUCUCCUAGAAUGAAUGGCCUGCCUCUCCUCCCAUCGCCUAGAAUGAAUGGCCCGCCUCUCCUCCCAUUGCCUAGAACAAAUGGUCCACCUUCUCUCCCACCCCCUCGUAUGAAUGGUCCACAUCCUCCUUUCCCAUCUCCUAGGAUGAAUGGUCCGCCUCCACCACUUCCAUCUUCGGGAAUAAAUGGGCCAACUUUUUUGCCUUCACCCA